UAUUUUUCAUAAGUUGUCCUAUUGUCAGUUUUACACCACUAAGAUCAUCAUGGCUGGAGAGAAGCACCGCCACCACCUCGUCCACCACCACAAGGAAGAGAAGCCUGUCGAGAGAAGCACCACUAAGACCAUCAUGGCUGAAGAGAAGCGCCACCACUACCACCACAAGGAAGAGAAGCACCACCACCACCUCGUCCACCACCACAAGGAAGAGAGAAGCACCACUAAGACCAUCAUGGUUGAAGAGAGAAGCACCACUAAGACCAUCAUGGUUGAAGAGAAGCACCACCACCACCUCGUCCACCACCACAAGGAAGAGAAGCACCACCACCACCUUGUCCACCACCACAAGGAAGAGAAGAAGCACCAGCACCACCUCGUCCAGCACCAGCACCAGCACCAGCACCACCUCGUCCAGCACCACCACCACCACCACCACCACCACCACAAGGAAGAGAAGCACCACCACCACAAGCCUGUCGAGAGAAGCACCACUAAGACCAUCAUGGCUGAAGAGAAGCACCGCCACCACCUCGUCCACCACCACAAGGAAGAGAAGCACCGCCACCACAAGCCAUAAUAAAAGGCAUAAUAGUCUCUUGUAUACUGUUUGUUCUGGCUUGAUGGUGCUGAUUUGAGUUAAAAAAGAUAAUGACUAUGUUGAUGAUGACACAUUUUCUGCCUUGGGAACCAAUUAUAAUAUAGGAUCCGAAUAGUUGCUUUUAUCUUUAUAAUUUAUGUUUCACAUGGAAAGAUAUUCAAUUCUCAUCUUUGAUACAUGUCACUACUUUGUUGCAAUUCAGUCAAGUUUAUUCAUACUUGAACAAGGCGGUGUCCUGAAAAUAUGACAUCUAUUAGUUAUACAAUGUUUAUUGUUGCUUGACUAACUUGCAGUCUUGGGUGGUUAACUUGUGCAUUGAUCCAGCUUGAGUUAAGUACUUGGUUACUCAGCGUUUGCUCUGACAUAUAUUCUUCAGUAAAUGCGGCAGGCUGAAUUGUUUACAAAUUACCGGUUCAAUUGUUGCUGUGUAAGCGAUGUACUGCAACUCCUGCAACUUAUAUUGAUCGUGCUUUGCUGGUAUCGUCCCCUGUACUUGCUUGUCCUUGGUUUUCUAUUCUGUUAAACCUACAACUCCAAUUUUAAGUUCCUUUAUCCUGUGUGUUUCUCUUCUUUGCUGCUCAGUACUCCAGAACUAUGACCGUAUCCAUUAACCGUCCCUCCUCAUAAAUUACUACUAGCAGUGAAAAUCACUGGAGUCAUUUCUUGCUGCACUCUUGAAAAGCACUGUCAUGUACAAUUCCAUUGUACUUUACCUGACUUGCUGCCUUAACCAUCUGACAUUAGCAUGUUUCCGCUCAAAGUAUAGACCAAAAGAAAGGAAUUCUGAAAUCUUCUAUGGUUCAAUUGUCAUGAAUGUGAGUUUUCAUGAACAGACAACGUGGCUUUAACUGCUUAUUUGCUUUUGCCUUUUUGUGUAGGAAACUUUUGUUUCUGGUGUUGAUGGUCUCAACUUAACUUCCAAUGAAGACUCGUACAAAUCCAAGGCAACUACGAAAUUCAUGGAUUCAAUUGAUGGUGCUAUUGAUGAGUAUUUGACCUUUAACAAUCCCGAGUCAUGCUGUGAGAAGCUUGAGGAUUUGCUUACACAUGGGCACCUUCAGGGGCCACUGAGACCAAAGCCAGAAAAGUCACCUCAAUGCAUAAGGUUACACUUGUUUCAUCAUCAAUCUCUACAUGCAUACACCACACUUGCUUCAGCAUACAGAGUCCGUGCUAGUGACCUCUUGGCUCUUAAUUCUGAAAAUCAUCAGCAUCAUAUGGAAGCUUUCACUCUGAGCAGAAUAAGUGCAGCCUACUCCUUGUUGUUGGCUAUAGUUACGCAUCAUCUUUUUCUUUCUGAAUCUUCAAUAAUUGUCUGUGUUGCGAAUUUCUGGAAAAAUGCCGGGGAGUCCCUAGUUUAUCUCUUUAGAAGCUCAGCCUGGGUUACAUUUUCCAGUUUGCACCAAUCUGUUUCUGAAAAUUCAUCCAUUCUAAGCCAUAAAUGCUGAAGAUCAAUUCUUUUAUUAAUACUGAAGAUCAAUAUGCAAUGUUUGGGGACAUAAGCAGGCAGCACAUAAAUUGUAUUGUCAACAUAACAGAAAAAGUAUGGAGCUUCCUUAGUCAUGAAAGUCGACAUCUGCAAGAAGUUAAAGAGCUCAUUGAUUUUUGAUGGCUUCUCACAGUGGAAACUCCCCUUGAUCUCGGAACUCGUAUUACUUGCCGGGAUAGCAGAACUGUUUCCAGACUUCAAAAAAAGGAGCAUGCCAACCUAGAGAGAGCAUAUCUCUUUCAGCUUGGUCUCCACUGCUUACACUAUGCAACAUACCUGUCAAGCAUCUGUUAUGGCCUAAAUUCCCUGUUGAUAGGUGAAGUUUGUCAAUCUUCUAUACUCUGAAGGUAUGUAUAGUGGCUGGUUAGUUCAACCAAUUUGGCUGAAAAUAUUAUCAAAAAAUAGCGAUGUGAAAAGGUCAUCAAAUAGAUGGUGAUCAAAAAGCUCAGUUCAUCACUCGUAUAUACCGUAUAGUUGAGUGUAUCUUUCCAGGAUUGAAUUCUCAUAGAUGGUGAUCAAAAAGCUCAAUUCAUCACUCGUAAUGCAUGCAAGCAGGAGCCCAAUAUUUCGUCCUCUUUCCAUUUGUUUUUUUUGGGCCACAGUCCUAGAAAUAAGCAUUUCAUGAGUUAAUUUUGGUCUACUGAAUUGAAUAAGAGUGAACUUUUGGGCCAAAUCAGGCUCCAAUUUCAAAUGUGGGUGCUGUUAUUGGGCCUCAAGAGAUUGGAUAAAGCCUGCCCACCUGACACCUAAGUAUCAAGGUCAAAUGACCUCAAACAAUCUAAUAUCCGUUCGCCAGUACUUUUAUUUGUUUAUUUUUUCUUGCCUUCAUAUUACACCCUUCUCGCCUUUAUAUUGUCUGAUUCAGAAUUCAAAAUCUGAAUCUCAUAAUUGAAAGGACGCUAAGAGCUUUUUUUUGACAAAUUUUUAUUUAUUUAUUUAUUACAUUCUUUCAUUCCUGUUCAUACCUUUUUCUUGCAGUCAUAUUAUACCCUUUUCUCCUUUGUACCGAGAGACUCAGAAUUCGAAAUCUGAACCUCAUAAUUGAAAGGACGUUAAGAGCCUAUUUUGACAACUGAACAAACCCUAAUAGUUUUAGUACUUACUUAAAAGAGUUUGUCAAUUUGUUGUUGUAGAGAGCUACAAUGACUUUAUGAAGGUAAAGUGGACAUUAAGUUUGGGCAGUGUCGAAUUUUACCUUUUCUUUUUCCCUUUCUUUUUGGUAGUAUGAUAUUAACUCGACAUUAUAAGAUUUUCAUGGGGGGUGGUUUGAAGUCUCCAUUUUGUUGCAACUAUUCAAAGAGUCAUGAAAUCUGUGAUUUCAUUUUCCAAGUGUGAAUAUUAGGUGGAUGGACAAAUCAACCUUCUUUUUUCCAUUCUUGGGGCAGAAUUUCUUCUCCCACGGAUGUUUCCUAUCCAUAUCACGAUAAUGUACUCUUCUUGAGCGAGUAAAUUAAUUGGUCCCCAAAUGGAAAUUUAGUUGGCACGUCUCACCGACCACGUUUCCUUAACAGCGAAGAAAAGGAAAUAUACAAAUGGAAAAUAAUCUGAAUCUAAACCACCCCAGAUAUCAACAUUCAAGUGGUGGAUAGUCAAUGCAUUUGGAUCAUUCAUGCAUCCAUCUUCCAACUUUGCUUAAAAUUGUGAACAAAGGGGUGGCAAACAACAUCAUAUCCAUGUGGUGGAGGCCAUACCUGUGAAUUGACCCUUCCAAACAGGCGUUAGAGCACAAUUGGUCAGAGAGGAGAAACUUGAAGGUGCAUAUGGCUAUGAGUUACAUCUGUAAAGUAAUAUCAACAUUAAUCGUCCAUUUGUAUCAAUCAUGGAUCAAUUGACAAAAAAAAACCCAAGUUGCAUCCUGUAUAGUUUGUCUGGGGAUGGGGUCUAUGUCAAUGAAUUGGAUGAAAGGAGAAGAAACUUCAAACUAUGAAUUUAUAAUUAGUGAUUGAGCUUAAUUCUUCAACCCAACCACACCAAACUUCUUGGUUAUUGGAGAACCAAAUCAUAUAUAUAUAUAUAUAAUAAAGUCGUAUCCUCAUUUAUCGUUUCAUGUUUUCUUUUUCUUAUGUGGCUUAACGAGAUAGCAAGUAAUUUUCUACGUGGCUUGCUUCUUUUUUGUUUGGAUUUAUAUCAAUUCUUAUUUCCUAUAUUAUAUGAUUGGUCCGAUAAAAUAUAUCAAUUCUUAGUCCGAUAAAAAUUGUUAGUCCGAUAAAAAUUGUGAUACAAAAUGGAUCAAUUGGAAAAAAAACCCCAAGUUGCAUCCUGUAUAGUUUGUCUGGGGAUGGGGUCUAUGUCAAUGAAUUGGAUGAAAGGAGAAGAAACUUCAAACUAUGAAUUUAUAAUUAGUGAUUGAGCUUAAUACUUCAACCCAACCAUACCAAACUUCUUGGUUAUUGGAGAACCAAAUUAUUUAAUAGUCGUAAGGUGGGAAAAAAAAAAGAAUUGCUUAAACAAUCUAGAAUACUUCUUUUUUUGGUAAAUAUCUAGAAAAUAUCUCUUUGGCUAUCUUGACCAAGAAAUACUGGUAGACCAUUUAACUUUCAAAAUGUUGAUUAUUGAUCACUAAGAUAUGUUUCAACCGCUUAAUCAUGAUUUAAUAGAGUUUUAAUUUCCCACUAUCCCUUGUCAAUCAGCAAAAUUGUGUUUGAUGACACGACUAAUUACCCUUCCAUAUAUAUAUAUAUAUAUCCUCCUUUUUCUAUCAAUUUUUUUUUUCAACGCCCGUUAAUCACGCUCCUAACACUAUCCAAUAACUAAGAUUUCUAGCCGAUUACUACUAAAUCAUCGCCUGUAGGCUAUAAAUAGCCUCCUCUCCACAAUCCAACAAACAGAAAAUUACCACCACUCAGAUCAGAUAUUUUUCAUAAGUUGUCCUAUUAUCAGUUUUACACCACUAAGACUAUCAUGGCUGAAGCCUUCCACCACCACAACCCCUUCCACCACCACAAGGAACAGACGGCUGCCGAAGCCGUUGGCUACUCCGACACCACCUACUCUGGAGGCUACGGUGGAGAGCCAGCACAUGAUUAUGAGAAAGAAAGAAAGCACCACAAGCACCUUGAGCAACUUGGUGGACUCGGUGCUGUCGCUGCUGGCGCCUAUGCCUUGGUAUAUUUCCGAUUUUGUGAUCCUUGCUUGUAUAACUCAGUUUUCAUGAUAAGCCACGAAGGCAUGCUUGUCUAUAAGAAGCCACAAAUUAAACUCAGUUUUUUUUUGUAUUAGUCCAUAAAGACUAAACAUUUUUGUUAUCAUUUCGUUUGAUCAGACAAUCAAAGAUUAUGUACGUCCAAUAUCAAAAGGGUUGUUCAGUAAAUCAGAAAAAUCUCUUUCGAAAAAUAAAAAAAAAAAGAUUAAAGAAUCUCUAGGGGGGAUAAAAUCGUAUGGUAUGGUCCAAUUAUAGUGUUGUGUUGAAUUUUAUGCUCUAAUCGGACUAAAAAUUUUGCAGUCAAUUGACUGUAUCAUAAACUCUUUUAAGUAGGACAUGGUUUUUGGCUUUACUAAUUUCUUGUUUGUUUUUUUUGUCGAAAUUUCCAUAAUCCAGCAUGAGAAGCACAAGUCCAAGAAAGAUCCUGAGCAUGCCCACAAGCACAAGAUAGAAGAAGAGAUUGCAGCAGUAGCUGCAGUGGGUGCCGGUGGAUUUGCGUUCCAUGAGCAUCACGAGAAGAAGGAUGCCAAGAAAGAAGAGGAAAAGGCUGAGGGAAAGCACCACCACCACCUAUUUUAGUUUAACCACUCGGAUUUUCAUUAAUCCUUGGGUGGUCUUUUUAAUAUUGUUCCCUUGUCUAUCUUCCAGUAUUGAGCUCGUACUGCCAAUAAUCAUGUUUAAUAAUCUGUUACUCAAAAAAAAAAAAAAAGUGUUGUUUUUCAUUUGAGUUGUGCGCCUGCUUUUGUUGGCGCUGCUGACUUUAUUAGAGUUUGUGUGAAGUGCUGUUGUUAUUAAUGAAAUGUUUGGUUGCAGUAUAAAAAUUAGAUAUCAGUUUGGAAUAUGCUCAAAGGAUGAUGAGUAUUCUUUUGGGCUCUAUCUGAUGAUCCGCAUAGAAAUUUGUUUUUUCCAAUAAUUUGUGACGUUACUCGAAAUGAAAUUUGUUAUGAUGUUGAUUGAAUAAUGAAUGUCUAUUAUACUUAAACAUUGAACACUAAUAGAACGUUGAGGUAUGGCCAUUUCUUGCGCCCCUUCCGUCUCCCGCGAUUAGGAUUUAUCCUAACUGAUUGGGAAAGGAUCAGGACCUAUAAAUAGCAAUGUCAUGAAAUUCCUAGCACUCACACUUAAUAACAAAAAAAUAUCAAAUUUUCAUUCUUAACCAUUACAAAUCGACAACCACAAUGGCUGAUCAGACUCAGCACCACCAUCUCUUCGGCCACCAUAACGAGGAAGAAAGGAAACACCACAAGCAUCUUGAGGAGCUCGAUGAGCUUGCAGCUGCUGCCGCUGGUGCCUACGCUUUGGUAAAAUUCUAAUGUUCUUGAUUUAAGCUGGUUUAUGUCCCCCAUAGAUUAAUCAAUCAAAAUAAAAAAAAAACAUGCUUUUUCAUUCACGGAAGAGGAAGAUCUAUGCAUCAAUUUUGGUACAACUAUUGUUAGACGUCUCCCCUAAAAAAUCAAGAUUGAUGAUGGGUUAGACAGUAGGGGACGUUCAUUUGUAUACUCUACUGUUGGGAGGAGAAGUUGCAUUUAAUUUUGGAGAAUGUCAAAAGCCAGUUUCUUAAAACCCAUAUGGUAGUGGGUUCAGAAUGGACUAGAUCUGCAGGUGGCUAAAAGGUGUUACAUCAACCGCUAUUUCUAAGAUAUCUAAAGAUUAGUGAUUCCUGAGCAAAACCAAGCCCAAGUAGUAUACUAAAACUUGUAGACAUAAUUAAUAUGGUCUGAGCCAAAAUAAUUUCUGAACUUUGUUAGCUCAUCUAUGGUGUGAAUUUGCAUGGAAUGAUGGUCAGCAUGAGAAGCACGAGGCCAAGAAGGAUCCGCAGAAUGCCCGCAGGCACAAGUUAGAAGAAGAGAUUGGUGCAGCAGCUGCAGUUGGAGCUGGCGGAUUGGCAUUCCAUGAGCAUCAUGAGAAAAAUAAUGCCAAAAAAGAAGAAGAAAAAGCCGAGGGAAAGCACCACCAUCUAUUUUGAAUUAUGAUAAGGGUUCCUUCAAUUUUCUUGCUAGUUCACAUCCAGGUUUCUACUUUGACAAGAAAUAAUUAUGUUUGUUUUUUCUCUAAAAACAAAAGGUAAUGUCAAUUUAUCUUGGGGAUUUCGUCUUGAUUUUAUUGGCGCAACUGACCUAGCACAUUUGUGGUGGAAUUGGUCUCAAUCUUACGUGCAAUUAUUUGUGUAAUAAUUCUAUCAUUAUGUUGGUAUCGUAUAAUCUAUGUAAUAAUUGAUGGAUUUUCUUAGCCAAAGAUAUAACAAAAUAGCCGACUGAUCACUGGUUAGAGUCAUAAAGGGAUAAGUGAAAAAUCACUGUUGAUCAUUUUUAAGGUAAAAAAAAAAGAAGUAAAUUUAUAGCAUUCAAUCUUUUCUUGAGGCUUUAUAUUCAUUUAAAGACUCAUGGAACAAUUAAACUUGUUGCAAAAAUAAUUUUGUUGGUUUUCCGACAUGUCAAUCUCAAUUGUUAAAAUUGUAAACUCUGAUUGGUGAGGCUGUAUAACAUCCAGCCCAUUUGGCGAUGUUAGGACCCAAAACUUAUCGUGAGGACCCUAUUGGAUGAGAGAGAUUCUUGAUUACGUUCCUUAUCUUCGUGAAGGUGACGGGCUAUCUACAUUAUUUCUCAAUUUAGUUCCUUUACCUUCGUAGAAAGUGACCAACCUAUAACAUUUGUGAUUUAACCGAAAAUUGUGGGAAACUAAAGAAUGAAUGAGUCACUUGAAUUGCUCCGAAACUAUUGGAAGGCAAUCUUUUAAGUGCCGAAAAAUAAAUAUUCUGUGGUGUUAAAGGAAUGAGAUGGGCGAACACUUGAGAUCCUCGGUAUCAUGUUUUUUAUGCCAAUCCAAUGCCACCUAUAGUAUUGCGCCAAGUGUUUUGUUAUUAUUUACACUUUAAUUUUCUAAUAAUUUAACUUGGUUUGGUUUAACACAAGUGUAAAUAAUAACAUGACACUUGGCGCAAUAUUAUGCGAAAUGGCUUCCUAAAAAAUAGCAUCCGCAUUUGUUUUUCAUUGAGAGGUAUUUCAGUUUUUCGAUCAAGUUAAUCCCUUAAAACUGUGUAGAGCCUUACUCCAAGGAUACACAGUCAGAUAACUCAUAGAAUCAAUCACGGAACCUAGCCUACUGAUAACUACCAGAUUACGAAACCAGUCAAAUUAGCGCGGGGCAAGCAUCCAUAUUUACAAAUGUGAAAUAUUGAUGCGAAAAGUUUUGACUGGCAUUCUGUAAAAGUUUUGAUGAAUAUGGCACUAUGAACCCUUAUUGAAAUAUUGCCGAAUUCCACAUUAUAGUAAGACAUCUAUUAGAAAAUUGAAAAUCUUGGUCCUUUGUCUUAAUUAACGUCACUGUUCUGUUAUCAUGGCCAUAGUCUUAGUCCCUUAACUAUAAAAAUUUGAUCAAUGUAGUCCGUUGAAUAGAAAAUUGGUCCAUAAUAAAUUUUAAAAAAAUUUAGUAGCAUCAGUUACACAACCUACACGACACGGCUAGAUAUUCCAGACACGAUACUUGACUAUUCUACCUGUGGCUUUCGUUAAUGGAGGAAAAAAGGUGAGAAGAAGACUCAGGGUCUCCGCCUGCAAGUACUGGCCAAAUGGUCAAAAUGAAUACGUAGCUGCCUGCCUAGAAUACUUGUUCAAUUUGAUGUUACAUAAAUUGGACAUUAGUCUUUGAUGAAAAUAGCUACUCAGCAAUGACAACGGUGUAUAGACACAUUAACACUCCACAAAGUAAAAAUUUUUGCCUCAAUUGGUAGGUGGAGGAGCGCCAUGUUUGUCUUUUGAUCAACAUAUAUUGUGGCCACAAAUCUCACUCCCAAGAUUUUGAUCAAGUUUGUCCCCGUUAAGGGCCAUAAUUUUGUGAUGAAUUUUUUUUUUUUGUCUUUUGAAUCAGUUUUAAAAAAUAUUCAAAUCAAUAUUGGAAGUUCCCAAGUUAUUCGUCAAAUCGCUUCUACGAGUUUCAAACUAUGUUAGCCGAACCAAGCAUGAAAAUUGGUUGUUUUAGUGCAAAAAUGAAGAGUAUAAGACUAAGAACGGCAAGGCAAAUUGAUUAACGGCUAAAUUUUACCAUUUAUUGUGUCUUGGAUAUGAUUUUUUUUUGGUCAAGCAUAGUUGCAAAAAUUGAUAACACGAAUUAGAGUUCAGACUUUAUAAUUUUACUGAAUCAUUUUAAGGAUUGAAACUGAGUAAAACUUUACGUCAUUUCAUUUUGCCCCCUUUCUCCCCCAUCUCCAAUUAAGGAUCUCGGGAUUCACAAGUUGCAUUUCGCUCCAUUUCAGAAUAAAAUGAUAAUUUUAAUUAUUUGUUUAUACUGUAUUCAAAUUAUUUACGCCAUAUUUAUAAUUUUCUUUUACACUAUAUUCUAACUCAUUUACACCCUAUUCUAACUCAUUUACACCAAGGACAAGCUUGUCUUGUGAAAACCCAUCCACCUCAAGUAAACGUCAACAUGAAAAAUCAAAGUGGGAAUGGGAAAUGUGGGGAACUCCAACCACACAAGAGCAAGAUGUCCAAUAGGAUGAUGGGGAAUACUAGAAGUUUACUAGUACACUGAAUUGAAACUAUAUAAUUUCUCAAACCAUUUUAGCAUUCUCGGCGUAGUUAGGAAUAUGUAGAACUACUGCUAGUUAUAUAUUGAUCUCAUGCCGUAUACUUAUCUGAUAGUUCUUUGGCCAUGGCCAGAACCGACUUCACGACGGGCAAGUUAUAUGUUCUCUUAAAGCUAGAAGGGCAAAUUGAUCUAUCGGGGUCGUUCUCAAUUAUCAUAGUUUCUAUGUGGAUCAAUUAGCCCUCUUGCCUUGAAAGAACAUAUAACUUCUGAUCCUGCAACUUCAAUCUUGGCAGAAAAUUGGUCUGCUGUAGUCUCCUUCAGCUACUGGAUUGGAGUCACUUGCAGCUCUCGCCACAAGGCAGGGUUACCGAGGUCAGUAUUUCGAACAUGGGUUUCGCGGGCAGCGCUCCUCCACACCUAGGAAACCUCUCGUUUCUUGUUUCUCAUAUCUUGCUUGUUUCUCUUGACAUGAGAAACAAAUUAACUGAAACGCUGUGCUGCCAGAAAAAAAUGGUUGAUUUGGGUCGAUUGAGAUACAUUGAUUAAAUUGGGAUACAAACAACUUUGUUGAAGAGGUACCAACAUGGUUCGGUUUGUUAGAUAAGCUUCAAUCCCUGCUUUUGUCCAAGAACCAGUUUAGUGGAUAUAUACCAACAGAAAUUGGGAAUCUGUACAAGCUGCACCUGAGAAUGUUCUCUAUAACAAUUUGGAAGGUACUUUCAUCCAUCUACUGGUCAUAUUUGUGCAAUUUGUCGCAAUCAAAAUCAAAUAAUAAAGUUUUUUUUUACAGACUUGAGAAGUAUGUAGUCAUGCCUACAUGCAAAAAAGUGGAACCAUGGUUCAAAGUCGCGGUCGCGGUCAUGGUCGCGGCCCGGAACGUUCCACGUCGGUCUCGGCAUAUCGGUCACGGUCUCGGUGAGACGCAAAUUUUAAAGUAUUUAAUAUUCUAAAAAUUGUUAAUAAUAUAAAAAAAAAGUAUGCUAAACAAAAAUAAUAAAAAAUAACAAAAGAAAUGGCCAAGUCAAUCCGUCACGGUGUAACUCGGCCGAUUUCUCGUCUUGACUCAGGAUAAUUCAGAGUGACUCGGUAUGACUCGGCUGAGUCAAUCCGUCGCGGUGACGUCUCGGCCGAUUUCUCGGCGAAUCAAGUAUCUCAGUAUCGUCUCGUCACGGUAUCGUAUCGGUAGAGGUCGAGACGGUGACGACUCGGCCGAGUCAUCUCGGUCUCGGCCGAGACUUCGAACCAUUAGUGGAACUGAACCAAUAUAAAUAUUAUCAAUUAGGUUAAUUACAUCUGAAAGCCAAGCAGAAGAAAAUAGCUAUAGGUUUCUGAUUCCAGCCCAUGUGCUAAUUUUUUCUGGAGAAGUUUACUCAAUUGUCUAGAUGUCAUGAAAAUUCUUAAUGUCAGAAAGUGAUAUAAUCUACAGUUUUGCAGGAGGAAUACCAAGAGAGAUUUGUAAUUUAACUGUGCUCAAUAGCCUGGUUUUACCAUUUAUGCAAUAACCACUUGACAGAUAGAUUAAUAACAAUAGUAUUCCUUUUUGUUGAUUAACCUUCAAAGAGGCUGAAUUAUCACGUUGAUUACCCCCAUGAACAUUCAUUUGCAUCAGUCUGUCUUGACUUUUUCAGUUGUCCAGUGACUGGUAGAUAGCAGCGCAGUUGUUUGGAUGGUAGCACUCUUGCAUUUUUUUAAAAAACUUUCUCACUUUUUUUUUUUUAAGUAAGAGAUAUUGAAUUCAGAAUCUUUUACAUAUAAUAUAAUCUUUGUUUUAUCACGUUAGAAUUAGAACUGACAUUCUAAUUAUAAUAUAAUACAAAGAUGAAAUAUCCUACAUCGGAUGGAGGAAAAGAAAAGGAAAUUAUAACGUCCAAUCCAUCAAAUUACCAAUAACUUUGGAUUAAUCAUUUUGAUCCCGUGGUUUUAGCUCAAAAAGAUAUUGGGUCAGUCCAACUGGCAUAGGGGUGUUACAAGUGGUAUUAGAGCGAAUUUGCAUGGGAUAAGUCUAAACCAGCAGGUUAUGGUUCAGAUUGCGCAACGAAGUGCAAGAAACAAAGUACUAUAUGGAGUUAAGGGUCACGUCGGACGUGGGUCAAUUUUAAAACCAUAUGAGACACGUCUAGAAUCCGCACAUGAUUAAGUGGAUAAUUUGAACCGUAACAGGCUUUAUGACAAUGCAAAGUUCUAAAGAGUUACCUCUAAAAUUUGCGGACAAGCUAACGAGUCACCUCUGAAAUUCACGUACGACUAAUGAGAAUGCAAAGUUCUAAAGAACCACCUCUAGAAUCUGCGUACAACCUAAAGAAUCACCUCUAAAAUUUGUGCACGACUAAAUGAACAGUUUGAAUUGUAAUAGGUUUUGUGAGAAUGCAACGUUUUAAAAGAUGGAGAGAGUGAAGUGUCCCACAUCAGACCCAUGAAAAGAAAAGAAAUAGUAUAUAACGUCCGAUCCAUCGAAUUACUAAUAACUUUGCAUUGACGAUUAUGAGAACCUAACAUCAGCUCAAAAACCUGUUGGGUCAGUCUAGUGGGCGUGGGAUGUGACGACCCCACCUCCCCCUAAGGCGUACCAAAGGGUUCGGCGGACCGCCUGCCCAGCUCUCGCCAGGACUCACUCACUAUCUCAAUCGAAUCGUAUACACACAUCCAUGAACCAUAAAUAACAUUCACAAUUCAAACUUAUAAUUUACAUUGAUAGGAAUCGAGGUACAAAGUCUUAAUACACCCAACUAGUUCAAAAAGUAUACAAUCCAAGUACAACAUGUUCCGUUCGAGGAAAAACGCGAGUACAAGACCAAAAGUCCGAAGUCAAAACAAAAGGCUACACUAGUCUUUUACAAGUCCCUCGCGUCACUCGUACCCCUGUAAGGAAAACAAACUAAUGGGGUGAACCAAAGCUCAGUGAAGUUCCCAAAUAUCAAAUUGGUCAACAACCAAGUUAUAGCAAAAUAAAAGUGAAAUAGCGAGCAAACAAGUCAAAUCAGGGAAAUAGUACUUCAGCUAGCCAAGUAGUCAGAUUCAUAUUCACAUAUAAGGAUACAGUACUCAUUUUCAGCUCCAUUCCAGCUUGGUUAAGUGGUAGUUGACACUCCGUCAACUUUCAAGUAAUAUCCAGUCCAAAUAAACUCCACUACACGCCAAUUUCCGUCCACCGAUCAACCCCCUAUUCCGGGCCCGCACGCCAUACAAAACAUGGGUGGUAAUACUCGAGUAUACUGUUAGUCGAGGAGAUAACACUCCACUCGACAUUACAAGUGACCCAGGGUUUGUUAUCUAAUCGACCAGGCCCUUGCCGGCUCGACUCGAUUAACUAGCCACAGGGUUUUCUGGAAUUCCAGGCAAGAUAUAAUUCAAGUACAUGUACAACAAGUCAAGUAUGAUCAAUAGCAAGAACAGGUCAUAUUAGGGCAAGUGCGAUAAAGUACACCCUUGCCCUUUCAUUCAUUGUCAUGUAAUCACGCAAGUCAAGUAAGGAGUACACAUAUCAAGUACAAUCGGAUAUUUGGAAGCACUCACCAAAAUAGUGCUUCUAGUGCUCGUGUCUGGGUGGUACUCCGAGUUGGGAGUCCAAAUCUGCGAUAAAACUUAACUUGAGAACUUUGAAAAUCAACCAAGGUUUGAAACUUAAGUGUUUCGUUCAAUAAGAAUCAAGAAAUUGAAAUUCACUUGAGAAGAGUCGUGAAAUAGUUGCUCGCUCUUUAAACUGAAAAAUUAAAUAACAUUUUUGCUUGAAGAUGACUCUUGAGUCAAAAGUGCAAGUAAAACGGUUUCGUAGUGAUUCAUAUCAUUUUCCUAAGGGUACAAGUUCGGCCAAGUCCUAACAUAUAACCCUCGAUAAACAAGUGGCAAAAGUCCUCGAUAGUUCAAGUAAUAAUCACUUAACCUUCACUCAAGUCGCAAAGAUAGUUUUCUAGACCUCGAGUAAAAAUUUGGGCAGCAUGCCCUUUGUGUUUACCUAAUUUCCAGCCAUUUAGGCUUCAUUAUUUUUCUUCAACAACAUCCCAACAUCAUACAAAUAAGCAAUUUAUGUCAAGAGCCGUUCCAUAGGCUCACAAUAUCAUAACAACACGAAUUGCAUCAAGUACAAGUGCAGAAACGCAAUGUAGUUCAAUACAGAUUUGACGUACAAAUGCGGUAAUACCAUACCUGAGGCUACGCUUAUCGGAUUAAAACGAAACCUACGCCGUUUCGAAGCUAAGGCACAGAGCUACAACAUUCAUGAAGGUCACUUAGUCCAUUUCCUAAUGUAACUUAGUCAAAAUCUCAGAUUACUAAACCAGAAACCAAUUCACCGGCAGUUUAAACGCAUUAUGCUGUAAUGGACCUAACUCAGUGUACACAAGUCCGAAUCAGGUUUUCUUUGAGGCAUUUUAAAGCUACUUCAGAACACUACAACUUUUAUGUUUUGGCCCAGAGCUAAAUCAGAAUGGAUCCUGGUCAAAAAUCGUGAUAAACUGGACUGAACUGAAGAAACGGACUGCUGGGAAAUUCUUAAAACAGUAGGGGUAUUUUGGACUUUUCACAUUCUGCGUUGCUCCGAUUGAGCUGAAAUUUUAUAGGCACCUAUAAAAUACCAUUCUCUACAACUUUCCUUCUUUGACCAAAGGCCAAUUCGGCCUCUAACAUAUAGAUACAAUUUCGGACAGAAUGCUUGGGAAAUUUUCCAGAAAUCUGGAAUUGUUUAGCUCUAAGUGAAUCUCAAAUUUCUGGUUCUAAUCACCACUAAACACCUUAUAUAACUUUAAUUGCAACAUUCAUGCAUCAUACAUCAACUUGAGCAGAAAAUCAGAAACCCUAGUUCAUCAAAUAAAUUGGGGAAAAACUUCUACACAUGCUAGCAUCCAUGAAUCUACCACCAAUCAAGCUACUAAGCUUACUUUAACCAUGAUUGAAAGAGAAAGUUAGAGAGAUAUCAUCCUCUUACCUUGAUUUGAGUCUCCAAGAUAGCACCAAGCUCUUCUCUUCCCAAAACUUCCACCACCA
RNAcentral lists this long non-coding RNA (14736 nucleotides) under Coffea arabica (coffee). Its description in RNAcentral is "long non-coding RNA (CARA_LNC007274)". The record is from RNAcentral. Lineage: Eukaryota; Viridiplantae; Streptophyta; Magnoliopsida; Gentianales; Rubiaceae.